Molecule: long non-coding RNA, 1710 nt
Organism: Drosophila gunungcola (fruit fly)
Lineage: Eukaryota; Metazoa; Arthropoda; Insecta; Diptera; Drosophilidae
Exons: 3
Source: RefSeq, a predicted model, not a curated record
CUCAACCAAUAGUGCGGAAUCAGUCUGGAAUUCUAAAUGAGGAAAAAAUCUUGUAUCGUUCGGAUCACCAAUUGCGCCAGUGUGUUGCAUAAUGUCUUACAUAAGAGAACAAGCACAACGCCAUUUGAUAGUGAAUUUAUUGCACUGCUUUCAGCGAUGAGUCUUUGCUGAGCAUAUCAGUAACGGAAUAAAUGAAGUCGUUCGGAAAUCACUGAGAAUUGACUCAAGCCAACCUAAUAAAGUGAAGCCCCGGUGGAUUAAGGAGAAAGCCGGGACUAGAGUGAUAGGUUUAAUUUUUGUUUGACUCAUUUAAGAUAUAUUUACAUAGGUUUUAUACAUUUAUAGUAAUGCAUGAUUCACAAAACCAAGACUUGCUGUGUCUCCCAUGUAUAUAUAUUUUCUUUAGCAAACGGAAAAUAUUUUUUUUUUAUUUUAAACAAUACAUUUAAUUAUUUCCUUCAUUUCCUGAUUGCGUCUUUGUGAAUAAUUCUGUUGAGAUUUAUUUGUGUGAAUUGAUUUUCGAUUUAAUUAAAUUCGCAGACUUUUCACACUUCAAUUUGGGUUUAAUCACCCGGUUAGCACACAAAAAGCGAUUCGAUUGGGUUGCAAUUAACACACCAUUUAAAGAGAAAUUGUUGCAAACAAACAAAAAAAAAACCUUGCAAAAAAAUCUAGAUAUUUCCCAAAGUGAAGUAUUUUGAUAUCACCUUGAUCCAAUAUUUUAUUCAUUCGUAAUCACAAUGAUAGCGAAAGAUGGAGCAGAGAAACAUCGAAUAGUUCACACUUCCAUUCGAGUUCGCAAUUAUGAUUCAUUCGGAGAGCGCUGCACAUGCUCUUAAAUUCGAUUCGUGGACAAAAAUCGGACAAGCGUGAGAUGGUCAGGGCCGUUAAACUGGAAAGGCUGCCCCCACUGGUAAGCGAUCUUGGUAGGCCUGUUUUGUUCAGUCCCCACUGCCUCACUACUGUGCCGAGGUCUUCAGCCCCGAGUGGCUGUGAGUCAGUUGGUUGUCCAGUUGGUUGGCUCCAACUGCCAUAUUUAGUUUGCCCCGUAUGCGUGUCAUUUGCAUGUAACGUGCGGCUUUUGUGAACGGCAACUGGGGAAAGGACGGAUGGUGGGCUCGAGUGAUUGGAAAUUUUAAGCUUUAAAUAGUUUAUGUUUUGUUUUCGGACUUUCAAUAUUUUGAAAUUAUUUGGCAUAGCAGUUAACGAAUUUAUGCAUCACUUAUAGUGAGAAAAAAUUAUAGAAAACAUUUUAGGAAAUACAUUUUUUAUUGUGAGCCUGAUUCUGAACAGCCUUACCAUGAAAGUGAUUCUAAUCACUUUGACUAUAUAGCAAAACUAUAGAAACGACUGGUCUAAUCUCCGAUUUAUUUAAAAUAAAUUUUUGUACAUUCCCCAACAUUCAACCACUAUUUGUCUACCCGAUUUUUACCACUGUGCAAGACACGUUUUGCGAACAACAGCGACAAACAACAAAAUCGCUUUGGUUUAUGACAAUUGUGCAAAGAGCGUCAAAGAGAAUAGGGAAAUGCAAAUAUAAUUAGCAACAACAAUGUGUAAGUUCAUUGGUCAGCAUACAUGAAAGAAAAAAAAAGAUUUUUACAUAAAAAGAAGAAAACAAACACAGUUUGUUUAUUUUGGGUUUGUUUUGGCUAGCGACUUGAACAAGGGGAAGCCAACUGAAGCUGAGAUGAAGAUAAAACCCGGAAA